RNAcentral lists this long non-coding RNA (419 nucleotides) under Mytilus galloprovincialis (Mediterranean mussel). The record is from RNAcentral. Lineage: Eukaryota; Metazoa; Mollusca; Bivalvia; Mytilida; Mytilidae.
CCUAUUUUGACAGUUUUUUCACCUACGUUGUUUACUGAUCAAGAAAAAAUGUCCAUACUGGGUUUAUUUUGUAGCCCUAUCCUUCUUUAUUGUAUAGGUACACCAAUUUGAUUUUUAAUCCAUAUUGAGUCAUAAAAAAAUGGGUUUGAAUCAACCUCCAAACUAUCCAUGAUUCUGUAAUGAGGAGUACCCAAAUUGCAUCCAUGCUUAAAUUCACAUCGUCAAAAGUCUAAUAACCGAGCUUUUGUUUAAUUUCUUCAAAUAUUUUAAACAAUUGGAUAUUAGUCCAUGCUUACUCUUCAUAUGUUACGAAAUGGAUACUUAUAAUAUAUUGUAUUUGCUAAUUUUAAAAAGAUGACGUUUUGAUGACGUCGCAUGGUGACGUUUUCGUACAUUUUGCUUUUUCAGUAAACAGUCCA